GCCGCAUCCGUGUUCAUCCACAACCUUUAUAUAUGUUAUGCAUUAUCAUAAAAUACAACUUACAUUUCAAUAUUAAGGAUGAACACUUUCGUUUUACACGGAAACCGUCUAAAAUUUACCUAAAAUGCUAGAAUUUUGAAGAUUUCAGUAAUUUAGCAUGACUUAAUGGUGCUACAACCCGAUAUAUGUGCAUUGUAUGGUCAAAAACAGCCCAUAUUUAUGUAGCAGAAGCAUUCAACUGUCCAAUAAAUAACUAAAAGUUUACAUUUUAACAAUUUUGUAAAACUGUUAUAUUUUUGGGCC
Molecule: long non-coding RNA, 303 nt
Filed under: Mytilus galloprovincialis (Mediterranean mussel)
Lineage: Eukaryota; Metazoa; Mollusca; Bivalvia; Mytilida; Mytilidae
Source: RNAcentral